RNAcentral lists this ribosomal RNA (21 nucleotides) under Helosis brasiliensis. RNAcentral's name for it is "partial 18S ribosomal RNA". The record is from RNAcentral. Lineage: Eukaryota; Viridiplantae; Streptophyta; Magnoliopsida; Santalales; Balanophoraceae.
ACCUUGCGGAAGGUUCAUGGA